UAAUAGCGUAUAUUAAAAGUUGUUGCGGUUAAAAAGCUCGUAGUUGGAUUUCUGCGCGGGAAGACCGGUCCGCCUUCUGGGCGAGUAUCUGGCUCGGCCUGGGCAUCUUCUUGGAGAACGUAGCUGCACUUGACUGUGUGGUGCGGUAUCCAGGACUUUACUUGAGGAAAUUAGAGUGUUUCAAGCAGGCAUUUGCCUUGAAUACAUUAGCAUGGAAUAAUAAGAUAGGACCUUGGUUCUAUUUUGUGGUUUCUAGAGCUUGGAUGGUAAUGAUUAAUAGGGAUAGGUUGGGGGCAUUCGUAUUUAACUGUCAGAGGUGAAAUUCUUGGAUU
RNAcentral lists this ribosomal RNA (332 nucleotides) under uncultured eukaryote. Its description in RNAcentral is "SSU rRNA". It matches the Rfam family "Eukaryotic small subunit ribosomal RNA", at positions 592 to 926 of the family's 1831-position model. The record is from RNAcentral.